This is a non-coding RNA of Odocoileus virginianus texanus, 747 nucleotides long. Lineage: Eukaryota; Metazoa; Chordata; Mammalia; Artiodactyla; Cervidae. The record is from RefSeq and is a predicted model, not a curated record.
UGCGCUUGCGCCCUCUGCGCUUAGCUGCGGUCCUCGCUGAGACCUCCUUUCAGGGACGGGAGGGUGGUUAUUCUGGUCUUCCCUGGGUUUGUGUGCUUCAGCCUCCGUGUUGGACUUAGGUAGGGUGUUUGCGAGAAGGUGUGCGUAAAAGCCUUUUACUAAACCAGUGCUGCUCAGGUGAGCGCCGUUUACGAAGCUCUGGGACGGGACCUGGGAGCUGAAAUUUCCCCAGGCUGCGGGGAGAGACCUCCUGAAGGAAGUUGGGGUCCUAAGCCUUCCCAAAAGAAGGAGGAUUUGCUACCGAUUGGAACUACUUCCCCAGUGUUGUCAGCCACCGCUGCAGUGUGGUACUAGAUGGUUAAAAGUGUUCAUGCGUGGGCUCCAACUCCCGAGAUUCGGAGUGAUUGAUCUUGGGCGAGCCCUGAGCAUCUGGGCCUUCUUGAUAUUGUUGAAACUCCCCGGCAGUUUCAACUAUAGUCCCGUCUUCACCCGUGCACACAAAGACCAAUUUCCCCUUCUUGCCACCGUCUCAGAAAUAUAAACCAACGCAAGACCCAGCCGGAGGAUCUUCCAGUGCCAAGCAUUAAGUGGUUUUCCUCCUCAAUUAACCAUUUGAGGUGUUUGAUCCUGCGAAAUGAAGUGGCGGUGGCCUUGGGCCAGAGUUACCUGUCAUGGGCAACAUCACAAAGUGAAAAGUUCAUGUGAGGACUACAAACCUGCUCCAUUUGUUACUCUUCCUUCUUCUAG